This 439-nucleotide ribosomal RNA is filed under the name uncultured Paraliobacillus sp. Its description in RNAcentral is "bacterial SSU rRNA". It matches the Rfam family "Bacterial small subunit ribosomal RNA", at positions 338 to 768 of the family's 1533-position model. The record is from RNAcentral. Lineage: Bacteria; Bacillati; Bacillota; Bacilli; Caryophanales; Bacillaceae.
CCUACGGGUGGCAGCAGUAGGGAAUCUUCCGCAAUGGACGAAAGUCUGACGGAGCAACGCCGCGUGAACGAUGAAGGUUUUCGGAUCGUAAAGUUCUGUUGUUAGGGAAGAACAAGUACCGUUCAAAUAGGUCGGUACCUUGACGGUACCUAACGAGGAAGCCCCGGCUAACUACGUGCCAGCAGCCGCGGUAAUACGUAGGGGGCGAGCGUUGUCCGGAAUUAUUGGGCGUAAAGCGCGCGCAGGCGGUUUCUUAAGUCUGAUGUGAAAUCUCGUGGCUCAACUGCGAGCGGUCAUUGGAAACUGGGGAACUUGAGUACAGAAGAGGAGAGUGGAAUUCCACGUGUAGCGGUGAAAUGCGUAGAUAUGUGGAGGAACACCAGUGGCGAAGGCGACUCUCUGGUCUGUAACUGACGCUGAGGUGCGAAAGCGUGGGGAG